Molecule: non-coding RNA, 117 nt
Organism: Nitrosomonas communis
Lineage: Bacteria; Pseudomonadati; Pseudomonadota; Betaproteobacteria; Nitrosomonadales; Nitrosomonadaceae
Source: Rfam
GGAGGAAGGCCCUCCGGAAUCACCUUACAGGAGGAGGUUUCAAACCACCUUAAGCGGCUCUUGUCAAAAGCCUGGGUCGUGAGCGUUAAGGAAAAGGCACUUUUGAAAGUGUCAGGU